GGAAAGUCAAAGAAGGGAAACCAAAUUCACAAAAUCCUAACUUACUAAGCCAGAGGCUGAGUGCCCUGUUUCAGGUUGUAAGGGGCAGCUGCACUCUUUCAAGGCAGUGCCCCUUGGCAGCCUGUGAAGUAGGGUGCAGGCUUCCAGGAGAUGGUGUAUGCCCAGUAACGGGAAGUGGGAAGUUGAGUCUGCCCAGCUUCCACUUGCUACCCAGUGCUGUUCUCCUGCCCUGCUUCUCAGUCACCACGAACUAAGAAGUUUUGUUCUAUCAUACUCUUCUACCAUGCCAUUUCUGCCUUGAAGCAAAUCAACCAUGAAUUCCACCCUCUGAAACCAUGACACAGAUAAACCUCUCAUCCUUUAAGCGGUGGGUAUAAGAUAUUUGUCUCAGCUAUAAGAAAGCUGACUAAUGCAGAACAUUGGUACCAGAGAAGUGAAAGUCAUUGCUAUAAAUGUACUUGAUCAUAUGGUUCAGAAGCCUUUGGAACUGGUUUGUGGGAAGAGUCUUGAAAAAGCCUGGAGAAAGCCUACAAUAUUACAAGCAGAUCUUGAUGAAUGACUCUUGCUAGAGCUCAAAGAUAAGAAUGUUGGUAAUAACAUGGACAGUAUGAGAUUUCAGUUGGGAACUCUAUUGGGAAUUAGGCUAAAGGUCAUGCAUGUUAUACUCUACCACAAGUUCUCUAAUUUUGUUCAUACUCUAAGACUAAAUUUUAGGCCCAUGAGCCAAGAGAAAAAAUCAAGGCAGCCCAAUAUUCAGGCAGUGGUAUGUGUACUUCUGGUUUUUUAAUCCAGAUUUGUAGUGAGAAUCAGGAGCAAAAAACAGAUCAGAAAGUUUUGAAAAGCAUAAGUUUUGACCAGAAAAUUAGCAUAUGUAAAGUUAGCAUCAAGGAGAGUAUGGUUCCUAAAAAAAUUAAUGCUUUUUAAAAGACACCAAAUACUGUGAACUAGGACAAGAAGAAAGAUGUUUUGAGGGCACCUCAGGAACUGGCAAGACUGCAUCCAUCAUAGACUCUAAGGUACAAAAGUGUAGAUCUUUCAUUUGAAGAAAGAGACCCUGGGACCCUUUUCAAGAAGGUCCAUUUAGGAAAUUGGUUUCCCUGGAUUCAUUUCACUGUGUUCAGCCAUCCAGGCCCUCAGAGGCCACUUUAUUGCUCACAUUGGUGGCAGAUCUUGGCACUAUCCACAUAAUGCUGAUUUUUUUGGUAUACAGAAUGCUAUGGAAACAUUAAGGCUUCCACUCAGAUUUUAAAGAAAGGCCUUGAACACCAGGCAAAAAUGUGUGACAGUGUCAGUGUCCCUGCCAGAAGCUACUGAGAGCACAAUGGGUGUAGCUGUAGGAAUGAAGCCAAAGGUAUAAUGGAGACCCCAGGAAACUAGGGAUUUUAGGAGCAAGGAAAGCUGUGGCAACGAGUACAGCCAGCCCAGGAUAGAGGUCAUGUGAGCUGAAACUGGCAAAACCAUAGGGAUGGUGUUGCCCAAACCCUUUGGCACUCACAUUUCACCACCAUGUUCCCUGGAUUCCAGACGUGUAGCUAUAAGAUCUAACACUUGCCUUGCUGGUUUUCAGUCUUGCUUUGGUCCUAUUCUUCUUUAUUUCCUCCCCUUAUUCAUUUCUCUUUUUGAGAUGAGAGUGUUUACCCUGUACAGUUUUAUAUUGAGAAUAUGUAACUUGCUUUUUGAAUUUUCAGACGUUUGUAGCCAAGGGCUUACUUUGAGUCUCAGGGGAUAUUUUGAACUUAAAUUUAUGAAUAAUGCUGGAAUUGGUGAAACUUUAGGGUGGACAUUGAAGGACCCUAGUUAGUAAGACAGACUCCAUAUUGCUGCUUGACCCACCUGCCUGCCCUUUACAUGAACUCAGAAGGAGGAAGCUUAGAAACCUCCUCCCCUUAGAGUUUCUUAGAAGCAACAAUUAAUCAACUAUUGUUUUACAAAUGUUCUAAGGACAGGGUGUUCAGCUUCUGUACCUUUUGCUUGCUUUGCUAGUUCUAUCCCAUAGGGGGCCCCAGAAACUGCUGGCCUCAAAGAUGCAUAAAAUAUGUUAAUCUCCCCCAGUCAGGGCUUGAGUCUGAUGCUUGGCUCAGGUCCCAGCCAGUAAUAAACUGCUGUGUG
This 2109-nucleotide long non-coding RNA is filed under the name Heterocephalus glaber (naked mole-rat). Its description in RNAcentral is "lncRNA (ENSHGLG00100046118.1)". The record is from RNAcentral. Lineage: Eukaryota; Metazoa; Chordata; Mammalia; Rodentia; Bathyergidae.